Molecule: ribosomal RNA, 442 nt
Filed under: uncultured bacterium
Lineage: Bacteria
Description: partial 16S ribosomal RNA
Rfam family: Bacterial small subunit ribosomal RNA
Source: RNAcentral
CCUACGGGUGGCAGCAGUGGGGAAUAUUGGGCAAUGGGCGCAAGCCUGACCCAGCAACGCCGCGUGAAGGAAGAAGGCUUUCGGGUUGUAAACUUCUUUUGUCAGGGACGAAGCAAGUGACGGUACCUGACGAAUAAGCCACGGCUAACUACGUGCCAGCAGCCGCGGUAAUACGUAGGUGGCAAGCGUUAUCCGGAUUUAUUGGGUUUAAAGGGUGCGUAGGCGGGCAUUUAAGCCGGCGGUCAAAUGUCGGGGCUCAACCCCGGCCUGCCGUCGGAACUGGGUGCCUUGAGUGGGCGAGAAGUAUGCGGAAUGCGUGGUGUAGCGGUGAAAUGCAUAGAUAUCACGCAGAACCCCGAUUGCGAAGGCAGCAUACCGGCGCCCUACUGACGCUGAGGCACGAAAGUGCGGGUAUCGAACAGGAUUAGAUACCCCAGUAGUC